This 1760-nucleotide ribosomal RNA is filed under the name Triticum aestivum (bread wheat). RNAcentral describes it as "partial small subunit ribosomal RNA". Lineage: Eukaryota; Viridiplantae; Streptophyta; Magnoliopsida; Poales; Poaceae. The record is from RNAcentral.
UCGCUACAUAAAAUACGCUUUGGGCUGCCCGUCGCCGCUUUACAUCGAUUUUUCUAAAGGUCGUUACUGCGCCGUGCGAGAGGGGGUGGGCGUAGUGCGGUGGUAGCAGUACGCGACUGCCGUGAGCGAGCAGUGCGCAGCGAGGAAGGUCCUACGAAGGGGGAACCUGAUAGGGAGGUGUGGUUCCUUCGAGUAAACCCUUUGGUGGUACCUACGUGGGCCACGUGCUACGAGUUGCACGGACGCCACGGGUGGCUAGUCACACUGCCGGACGUGCUCGUGCCGAUGCGGAGUGGGUGGGUGGAUGCGUCUCGCCGUAGUGUGCUAUGGUCGCGUGCGUGUCCAUCAGCGGUUGGUACUAUAUAUCAUGCUUGGAAGGAGGGAGCUCGAGGGGGGACGGGAGCGGAACGACGAGGUAUAGUGACCGGCCGACCGAUGAGGCCACCGGAACACGAUCUCGCCCUCUCACAAGGUCACAUGAUGACGCACGAACACGAAGCUUGCUGCAUGACACCUGACAUCAUGCACAGGUACCUCCGGGGCAACCGCGUCCACUGCCUACUGGACUAGUUCCCCGCCCUCAACCGCUGCGUCGACGUCCCGGAGGAGGCCCUGAGGGGGCUCCGGCCGCCAGAGUAGCACCUGGUCUAGGAGGUGCGGAAGAGGGCGCGGUAGGUGCGGCGGUCCCGGCGCCGGCGACGGUCGUGGUCGCUCUCCAGGAGCCUGCACGCCUCGCUCCAGUGGCUGCCGCGCUCGCCGCCGCGCUUCUCCUUCAGGCGGAGGCGGCGGCCGCCUCCUUUGGCGUCCCGGACGGCCUCUUCCUGGGUCGUUAGCAGGCAGCAUUGCUUCUCGUACCUCUCGAACCUGCUGCCCGUCCGUACCGCGUUCAUGCCCGUCUUCCUCUAUGUGUUGAGGUUCGUGAGCUCCCGGAUGAAGGCCACGUGCGUGUUCAUGCUGGUCGUCACGCGCCGCGUCGCCGUCCAGGUCGCGACGCUGCUACUGCUCCCGUACAAGUCCCAGUGGAUGUAGCCGCACGUGCGGACGGCCCUGGGGCGGCGGCGGCACCGCGGCGUGGAGGAGGUGGUGGACUCGCCGCGGCGGGUUCCGGACGUGCGGCCGACGGUGGAGUAGUCGAAGCGCGGGCCGUCGCAGCGAUGGCGAUGGGUACCGUGGUGGUGGUCGUGCCGCUACCCCAGGCCGGACGUCCCGUAUUUCGGACUCUCGCCGCUGGUCCUCCUCCACGACUCAUCGGCGUGGGGGCCCUCGAGACGGGACGUGUCGCGGCGGCGCCGCCGCUGCCGCGGAUGAACCGGGCUGGUCCCUCUGCACUGCAGGUGGGCCGUUAUGCCACCGUGGCAAUCGAAACCUCUCAUGGAACUACUGAUACGCAGGGAGCCCCUGGAUCACAGCAUGCAUGAGCUAGUAACUAGCCAGCUCGACACCUGGCCCUCCGCGGGUUCGUAGCUAGCUGAGCCGCGCACAUUUAGCUUUAUUACCGACGCGCCUAGGAGCUAGAAGGACUCGUGAACUCGUCGUUGGUGACGCGCAGCAUCAAAUCAAACUUCACGGAGACAUUUCUUUAUAUUCUCGCAACCCUCAUGUCAAAUAAAAGCACAGUACUGUUAAUCUACGACGUUCAACCCAUAACAGAAUCAACUCGGAUACGAAAACAGAGGGGGUUCACUGACUCUUCACGUGUCUUUUAAAGUCACAUAAAACGUGAACUGAGGUGCUGAAAUACGAUUAAAACCAAAGUACAA